GGUUGAUCCUGCCAGUAGUCAUAUGCUUGUCUCAAAGAUUAAGCCAUGCAUGUCUAAGUACGUGCCUUUACAAGGUGAAACCGCGAAUGGCUCAUUAAAUCAGUCAUGGUUUACUAGACCGUUCUAUCCUACUUGGAUAACUGUGGUAAUUCUAGAGCUAAUACAUGCCAAGAGUCUCCUGCCCUUGUGGCUCGAGCGCUUUUAUUAGACCAAAACCAAUCGGGCACUCGUGCUCGUCAGUUUGUGGUGACUCUGGAUAACUUUGAGCAGAUCGCACGGUCUUCGUGCCGGCGACGUAUCUUUCAAAUGUCUGCCUUAUCAACUGUCGAUGGUAGGUUACUUGCCUACCAUGGUUGUAACGGGUGACGGGGAAUCAGGGUUCGAUUCCGGAGAGGGAGCCUGAGAAACGGCUGCCACAUCCAAGGAAGGCAGCAGGCACGCAAAUUACCCACUCCCAGCACGGGGAGGUAGUGACGAAAAAUAACGAUGCGGGACUCUUACGAGGCCCCGUAAUCGGAAUGAGCACACUUUAAAUCCUUUAACAAGGACCUAUUGAAGGGCAAGUCUGGUGCCAGCAGCCGCGGUAAUUCCAGCUUCAAUAGCGUAUAUUAAAGUUGUUGCGGUUA
This 626-nucleotide ribosomal RNA is filed under the name Cambalomorpha scutata. RNAcentral describes it as "SSU rRNA". It matches the Rfam family "Eukaryotic small subunit ribosomal RNA", at positions 6 to 621 of the family's 1831-position model. The record is from RNAcentral. Lineage: Eukaryota; Metazoa; Arthropoda; Diplopoda; Spirostreptida; Cambalopsidae.